RNAcentral lists this long non-coding RNA (1063 nucleotides) under Brassica napus (rape). Its description in RNAcentral is "long non-coding RNA (BNAP_LNC011657)". Lineage: Eukaryota; Viridiplantae; Streptophyta; Magnoliopsida; Brassicales; Brassicaceae. The record is from RNAcentral.
UGGCAUGAGUUGAUUGGUGGGACAUUUUUCGGUGGAAUAGCCCCAAAAUUGAUAUGAUUUAUAUUCGUGGCAUCCUUUUUUUUGUUGGACUAGAAAUGAAAUUACUAUGGCAAUAAACCGUUCAUAGAAUUUAAAAACAAAUAGUUUUGGCCACGAUUAAAUCGUAGAAAAUAGUAGCUAAAUUUCACACAAAUUGGUUCCUUUCGUUGCAAAUUGCCACAAUAGUUUUGUCGCAAAAUCUUGGCUAUACUUUGCCCCGUCUGUGUUCGUAGAAAAUUUGUGCCAUUUUGCCACAAAUUUCACAUGGAUUGCCACACGUUGACUGUGAUUAUAACUAGUAAGAUAGAUGCGGUGGAGGGGUUUGUUUUGUAACAGAACUGUCCAAGGGCUCUUCUUUCCUUAUGGUUUGCUUCGUGGACGGCGAGCGGAGGAUGUGAGGCUGACCUUCCAGUGGCGGAGGAGGUGAGUCGGUUACGGGGUGUACCCUAGGCCUAUCCAAAAGCAUAUUCUAAACCGACGAUCUCGUUCUGUUACCGUAGAACUAUUCUUAACUCAUGCUUUUCUCCCUUUUUUUCUAGAUUACGAUCUUGGCAGCUCCGAUGCCAUUCUUCUCACCCAUUUGUUUACAGAUUUGGGGUUUCCUCUUUCGGUGGAAGCAGCUCGCUUUGUUUUGGGUUCGAGGUAUGCGUUUCUCCGGUGAGCAAUUGGUAGCAGUGGAUGUGGUGCCCGUCACGACGGAAAGAUUCUUGCUCGCUGUUGUAUGCUUAAUAAAAAUGAAAAAUUUAAUUCGAAAACCAUUUAAAAAAUAACGAAUUAGAUGCUAACUCGUUUUCAGUUGUUCUGUCUGAGUUGGAAAGAUUCUUUUAAAGUGAGACUUGACGGUGUUUUUUUUUUGUUUCUUUUAAUCUUUAAACCGAUUUAGAAUGCACCGUCUAUCGCAGAAACAAUGACGAUUUUGUAGGAUCCUAAUUUGGAUACAAAAGAAAUAAUAUACCAAAAAGACGAGGAUUAUGCCUACAACUUUAUAAAAGUCAGACCCCACGCGCUAAGUGCUUUCUUGUUU